AAGGAUCAUUAAUGAAUUUGUCUUUGGACAUUAUUUCUUUAAACACUUGUGAACUUAUAUGUUUUUGCUUUGGCUAGUCAUUGGCUGGCCAAAAGAUUUUUACAAACACCUUUUAUCAAGAAAUUUAUUUUGAAACUGAAUUAUAUUAAUUAUUCAAAACUUUCAACAACGGAUCUCUUGGUUCUC
RNAcentral lists this unclassified non-coding RNA (186 nucleotides) under uncultured fungus. RNAcentral's name for it is "partial contains 18S rRNA, ITS1, 5.8S rRNA, ITS2 and 28S rRNA". Lineage: Eukaryota; Fungi. The record is from RNAcentral.